Gorilla gorilla gorilla (western lowland gorilla) is the source of this 246-nucleotide long non-coding RNA. RefSeq lists it as uncharacterized. The transcript is spliced from 2 exons. The record is from RefSeq and is a predicted model, not a curated record. Lineage: Eukaryota; Metazoa; Chordata; Mammalia; Primates; Hominidae.
CAUGGGGAUAACCGCCCCCAUGAUUCAAUUACCUCUCACCAGGUCCCUCCUGUGACACGUGGAGAUUUUGGGAACUACAAAUCAAGAUAAGAUAUGUGAAGAUGAUAUUCUGGGCAUGGAGGAAAAUGUCCUUGUUCUCAAGAGACAGCAUCUGGAAUAUUUCCGAAUGAAGCGUUGUGAUGUUUUUUAACUCACUUCAAAUGGUCCAGAAAAAAAGGAGGAGAGAUAAAGCUUAUGUGGAAUCCA